GAUGAACGCUGGCGGCGUGCCUAAUACAUGCAAGUCGAGCGAACAGACGAGGAGCUUGCUCCUCUGACGUUAGCGGCGGACGGGUGAGUAACACGUGGAUAACCUACCUAUAAGACUGGGAUAACUUCGGGAAACCGGAGCUAAUACCGGAUAAUAUAUUGAACCGCAUGGUUCAAUAGUGAAAGACGGUUUUGCUGUCACUUAUAGAUGGAUCCGCGCCGCAUUAGCUAGUUGGUAAGGUAACGGCUUACCAAGGCAACGAUACGUAGCCGACCUGAGAGGGUGAUCGGCCACACUGGAACUGAGACACGGUCCAGACUCCUACGGGAGGCAGCAGUAGGGAAUCUUCCGCAAUGGGCGAAAGCCUGACGGAGCAACGCCGCGUGAGUGAUGAAGGUCUGCGGAUCGUAAAACUCUGUUAUUAGGGAAGAACAAAUGUGUAAGUAACUAUGCACGUCUUGACGGUACCUAAUCAGAAAGCCACGGCUAACUACGU
Molecule: ribosomal RNA, 496 nt
Filed under: uncultured bacterium
Lineage: Bacteria
Description: partial 16S ribosomal RNA
Rfam family: Bacterial small subunit ribosomal RNA
Source: RNAcentral